RNAcentral lists this ribosomal RNA (447 nucleotides) under uncultured bacterium. RNAcentral describes it as "partial 16S ribosomal RNA". It matches the Rfam family "Bacterial small subunit ribosomal RNA", at positions 29 to 523 of the family's 1533-position model. The record is from RNAcentral.
AACGAACGCUGGCGGCAGGCUUAACACAUGCAAGUCGAACGCCACGCAAGGGGAGUGGCAGACGGGUGAGUAACGCGUGGGCGUCUACCGUGCCCUGCGGAAUAGCUCCGGGAAACUGGAAUUAAUACCGUAUACGCCCUACGGGGGAAAGAUUUAUCGGGGUAUGAUGAGCCCGCGUUGGAUUAGCUAGGUGGUGGGGUAAAGGCCUACCAAGGCGACGAUCCAUAGCUGGUCUGAGAGGAUGAUCAGCCACAUUGGGACCGAGACACGGCCCAAGCUCCUACGGGAGGCAGCAGUGGGGAAUAUUGGACAAUGGGCGCAAGCCUGAUCCAGCCAUGCCGCGUGAGUGAUGAAGGCCUUAGGGUUGUAAAGCUCUUUCACCGAUGAAGAUAAUGACGGUAGUCGGAGAAGAAGCCCCGGCUAACUUCGUGCCAGCCGCCGCAGUAA